CAGCAGCCGCGGUAAAACGAAGGGUGCAAGCGUUAAUCGGAACUACUGGGCGUAAAGCGUGCGUAGGCGGUGAGUUGAGUCUGCCGUGAAGUCCCCGGGCUCAACCUGGGAAUGGCAGUGGAUACUGGCUCGCUAGAGUGUGUCAGAGGAUGGUGGAAUUCCCGGUGUAGCGGUGAAAUGCGUAGAGAUCGGGAGGAACAUCAGUGGCGAAGGCGGCCAUCUGGGACAACACCGACGCUGAGGCACGAAAGCGUGGGGAGCAAACAGGAUUAGAUACCCCCGUAGUCCCUGUCUCUUAUAC
This 301-nucleotide ribosomal RNA is filed under the name uncultured bacterium. RNAcentral's name for it is "partial 16S ribosomal RNA". It matches the Rfam family "Bacterial small subunit ribosomal RNA", at positions 509 to 807 of the family's 1533-position model. The record is from RNAcentral.